CUAAACCACUAGAAACAAACCUGUAAUCUGACAAAAUCAGAUUAAUGAGUCAGGUAAUGGAAGGAAGAUGUUUGAGAGGAAUCUUGAAACGGUAGCUCUACAGAAGAGAAGAGAGAAGUACAUUUUAUAAGGUUUGAGUUACUGCUGAAAGAUUCUGAAGAGAGACAAGGAGAAGCAGGUUGCAAUAGCAGAGGAGUCCGCAAUGAUCAUGCUGCAUCAUUCAGGAUUGUGAAAGAAACUGUCCCCGGCCCCGACCCCAGCCUCUGCUACCAGGUCAA
Molecule: long non-coding RNA, 278 nt
Filed under: Homo sapiens (human)
Lineage: Eukaryota; Metazoa; Chordata; Mammalia; Primates; Hominidae
Description: HSALNT0103041
Source: RNAcentral